CAAUAGCGUAUAUUAAAGUUGUUGCAGUUAAAACGCUCGUAGUCGGAUUUCGGGGCGAUCCCGCCGGUCUGCCGUUGGGUAUGCACUGGUGGGCGCGUCCUUCCUUCCGGAGACCGUUCCUACUCUUAGCUGAGCGGGGACGGGAGACGGAUCGUUUACUUUGAAAAAAUCAGAGUGUUUCAAGCAGGCAUUUGCUCUUGCAUGGAUUAGCAUGGGAUAAUGAAAUAGGACUUUGGUGCUAUUUUGUUGGUUUCGAACACCGAAGUAAUGAUUAAUAGGGACAGUGGGGGCAUUCAUAUUCCAUUGUCAGAGGUGAAAUUCUUGGAUUAACGGAAGAUGAACUACUGCGAAAGCAUCUGCCAAGGAUGUUUUCAUUGAUCAAGAACGAAAGUUAGGGGAUCGAAGACGAUCAGAUACCA
RNAcentral lists this ribosomal RNA (419 nucleotides) under uncultured eukaryote. RNAcentral describes it as "SSU rRNA". It matches the Rfam family "Eukaryotic small subunit ribosomal RNA", at positions 592 to 1017 of the family's 1831-position model. The record is from RNAcentral.